RNAcentral lists this transfer RNA (90 nucleotides) under Alectoria sarmentosa. Its description in RNAcentral is "tRNA-Ala". It matches the Rfam family "tRNA". From Rfam's summary of the family: Transfer RNA (tRNA) molecules are approximately 80 nucleotides in length. Their secondary structure includes four short double-helical elements and three loops (D, anti-codon, and T loops). Lineage: Eukaryota; Fungi; Ascomycota; Lecanoromycetes; Lecanorales; Parmeliaceae. The record is from RNAcentral.
GGACGUGGUCUAGUGGUAUGACGGAUCUUUAGCACCCGACGAAAGUCAACCGCGUAGAUCAGGUCCGGGGUUCAAUUCCCCGCGUCUCCA